RNAcentral lists this ribosomal RNA (243 nucleotides) under uncultured bacterium. RNAcentral describes it as "partial 16S ribosomal RNA". It matches the Rfam family "Bacterial small subunit ribosomal RNA", at positions 91 to 334 of the family's 1533-position model. The record is from RNAcentral.
CGGACCGGCGCACGGUGAGUAACGCGUAUGCAACUUACCUAUCAGAGGGGGAUAACCCGGCGAAAGUCGGACUAAUACCGCAUGAAGCAGGGGCCCCGCAUGGGGAUAUUUGCUAAAGAUUCAUCGCUGAUAGAUAGGCAUGCGUUCCAUUAGGCAGUUGGCGGGGUAACGGCCCACCAAACCGACGAUGGAUAGGGGUUCUGAGAGGAAGGUCCCCCACAUUGGUACUGAGACACGGACCAA